Molecule: ribosomal RNA, 300 nt
Filed under: uncultured Pyrobaculum sp.
Lineage: Archaea; Thermoproteati; Thermoproteota; Thermoprotei; Thermoproteales; Thermoproteaceae
Description: bacterial SSU rRNA
Rfam family: Bacterial small subunit ribosomal RNA
Source: RNAcentral
GCUAACUGCGGGCCGGCGGCGGGGGUAAGACGGAGGGGUGAAGCGUUAAUCGGAAUUACUGGGCGUAGAGCGCACGCAGGCGGUCUGUCAAGUCGGUUGUGAAAUCCCCGGGCGCAACCUGGGAACUGCAUUCGAAACUGGCAGGCUAGAGUCUUGUAGAGGGGGGUAGAAUUCCAGGUGUAGCGGUGAAAUGCGUAGAGAUCUGGAGGAAUACCGGUGGCGAAGGCGGCCCCCUGGACAAAGACUGACGCUCAGGUGCGAAAGCGUGGGGAGCAAACAGGAUUAGAUACCCCGGUAGUC